CCUACGGGAGGCAGCAGUGAGGAAUAUUGGUCAAUGGACGAGAGUCUGAACCAGCCAAGUAGCGUGAAGGAUGACUGCCCUAUGGGUUGUAAACUUCUUUUAUAUGGGAAUAAAAUGUUCCACGUGUGGGUUUUUGUAUGUACCAUAUGAAUAAGGAUCGUCUAACUCCGUGCCAGCAGCCGCGGUAAUACGGAGGAUCCGAGCGUUAUCCGGAUUUAUUGGGUUUAAAGGGAGCGUAGGUGGAUUGUUAAGUCAGUUGUGAAAGUUUGCGGCUCAACCGUAAAAUUGCAGUUGAAACUGGCAGUCUUGAGUACAGUAGAGGUGGGCGGAAUUCGUGGUGUAGCGGUGAAAUGCUUAGAUAUCACGAAGAACUCCGAUUGCGAAGGCAGCUCACUGGACUGCAACUGACACUGAGGCUCGAAAGUGUGGGUAUCAAACAGGAUUAGAUACCCCAGUAGUC
This 460-nucleotide ribosomal RNA is filed under the name uncultured bacterium. Its description in RNAcentral is "partial 16S ribosomal RNA". It matches the Rfam family "Bacterial small subunit ribosomal RNA", at positions 338 to 795 of the family's 1533-position model. The record is from RNAcentral.